UCUCCGUAGGUGAACCUGCGGAGGGAUCAUUACAGAGUUCAUGCCCUACCGGGUAGAUCUCCCACCCUAUGUUAUUAUUACUUUGUUGCUUUGGCGGGCCGUUAGGCUCCGGCCCGACUACCGGCCCCGGCUGGUGAGCGCCCGCCAGAGGACCCAAAACCCUGAAUAUUAGUGUCGUCUGAGUACUAUAUAAUAGUUAAAACUUUCAACAACGGAUCUCUUGGUUCUG
RNAcentral lists this unclassified non-coding RNA (229 nucleotides) under plant metagenome. RNAcentral describes it as "partial contains small subunit ribosomal RNA, internal transcribed spacer 1, and 5.8S ribosomal RNA". The record is from RNAcentral.